GUGUCUCGAUUAUUCUAUAAGGUCCUUAUCAAUUCGGAGAUAAUUUUUCUUAGUCUAGCAAUUUUGAGACUUUUGCUUUUCUUAAAACUAGGUCUCCUGGAUGGAAGAUCUUUAGCUUAACUUUUACAUUAUAAUAUCGGACUACUCUUUGUCGAUAAGCUGCCAUUCGAACUUGAGCUUAUCGUCGAACUUCUAAAAGUAGAUCUA
RNAcentral lists this long non-coding RNA (207 nucleotides) under Elaeis guineensis (African oil palm). RNAcentral describes it as "long non-coding RNA (EGUI_LNC040772)". The record is from RNAcentral. Lineage: Eukaryota; Viridiplantae; Streptophyta; Magnoliopsida; Arecales; Arecaceae.